Molecule: ribosomal RNA, 755 nt
Filed under: uncultured bacterium
Lineage: Bacteria
Description: bacterial SSU rRNA
Rfam family: Bacterial small subunit ribosomal RNA
Source: RNAcentral
AUUGAACGCUGGCGGCAGGCUUAACACAUGCAAGUCGAGCGGAAACAAUGGUAGCUUGCUACCAGGCGUCGAGCGGCGGACGGGUGAGUAAUACUUAGGAAUCUACCUAGUAGUGGGGGAUAGCACGGGGAAACUCGUAUUAAUACCGCAUACGACCUACGGGAGAAAGGGGGCAGUUUACUGCUCUCGCUAUUAGAUGAGCCUAAGUCGGAUUAGCUAGAUGGUGGGGUAAAGGCCUACCAUGGCGACGAUCUGUAGCUGGUCUGAGAGGAUGAUCAGCCACACCGGGACUGAGACACGGCCCGGACUCCUACGGGAGGCAGCAGUGGGGAAUAUUGGACAAUGGGGGAAACCCUGAUCCAGCCAUGCCGCGUGUGUGAAGAAGGCCUUUUGGUUGUAAAGCACUUUAAGCAGUGAAGAAGACUCUUCGGUUAAUACCCGGAGACGAUGACAUUAGCUGCAGAAUAAGCACCGGCUAACUCUGUGCCAGCAGCCGCGGUAAUACAGAGGGUGCAAGCGUUAAUCGGAAUUACUGGGCGUAAAGCGAGCGUAGGUGGCUUGAUAAGUCAGAUGUGAAAUCCCCGGGCUUAACCUGGGAACUGCAUCUGAAACUGUUAGGCUAGAGUAGGUGAGAGGGAAGUAGAAUUUCAGGUGUAGCGGUGAAAUGCGUAGAGAUCUGAAGGAAUACCGAUGGCGAAGGCAGCUUCCUGGCAUCAUACUGACACUGAGGCUCGAAAGCGUGGGUAGCAAACAGG